UACGUAGGGUGCAAGCGUUGUCCGGAAUUAUUGGGCGUAAAGAGCUCGUAGGCGGUCUGUCGCGUCGGCUGUGAAAACCCGGAGCUCAACUCCGGGCCUGCAGUCGAUACGGGCAGACUGGAGUUCGGCAGGGGAGACUGGAAUUCCUGGUGUAGCGGUGAAAUGCGCAGAUAUCAGGAGGAACACCGGUGGCGAAGGCGGGUCUCUGGGCCGAUACUGACGCUGAGGAGCGAAAGCGUGGGGAGCGAACAGGAUUAGAACCUAC
This 265-nucleotide ribosomal RNA is filed under the name uncultured bacterium. Its description in RNAcentral is "partial 16S ribosomal RNA". It matches the Rfam family "Bacterial small subunit ribosomal RNA", at positions 524 to 790 of the family's 1533-position model. The record is from RNAcentral.